Molecule: long non-coding RNA, 354 nt
Filed under: Coffea arabica (coffee)
Lineage: Eukaryota; Viridiplantae; Streptophyta; Magnoliopsida; Gentianales; Rubiaceae
Description: long non-coding RNA (CARA_LNC007192)
Source: RNAcentral
UCAAACUCCAUCCACUCUGUGCUGCCCUUUUGCACAAUUCUUAUUCCUUCUCUCUCCUUUCCUUCAAAUUUCAAUUCAUUCCUAUCCUUCCAUAAUUGCCAAAGUAUGUUAGCAAUCAAGGCUAUAUGCUGCUUUCCUUCGUUCCUACUCCUGGCUUGAGCUAAUGCUGCCUACCACUGCUUAAAACAACCUGUUUGGUUCCAGAUACCAUCCCAUUGUAUUGGAGCAAGCUUCCAUACCUUCUGAGCCUAAGGACAGUGGAACAAAAUGUGUUCCACUAUUUCCAUAUUAUCUCCACAUCUUGAGCAAAAUGGUGAUCCUUGUUUUAUUCUUCUGAAUAUUGUUUCCCUUGCU